GAUGAACGCUGGCGGCGUGCCUAAUACAUGCAAGUCGAGCGAACGGACGAGAAUCUUGCUUCUCUGAUGUUAGCGACGGGCGGGUGAUUAACACGUGGAUAACCUACCUAUAAGACUGGGAUAACGUCGGGAAGCCGGAUCUCAUACCCGAUAAUAUUUUGAACCGCAUGGUUCAAAAGUGAAAGAGGGUCUUGCGGUCACUUAUAGAGGGUUCCGCGCUGCAUUAGCUAGUUGGUAAGGUAACGGCUUACCAAGGCAACGAUGCAUAGCCGACCUGAGAGGAUGAUCGGCCACACUGGAACUGAGACACGGCCCAGACUCCUACGGGAGGCAGCAGUAGGGAAUUUUGCGCAAUGGGCGAAAGCCUGACGCAGCCACGCCGCGUGAGGGAUGAAGGCCUUCGGAUCGUAAAACUCUGUUAUUCGGGAAGAACAUAUGUGUAAGUAUCUCUCCACAUCAUGACGGUACCUAAUCAGAAAGCCACGGCUAACUACGUG
Molecule: ribosomal RNA, 497 nt
Filed under: uncultured bacterium
Lineage: Bacteria
Description: partial 16S ribosomal RNA
Rfam family: Bacterial small subunit ribosomal RNA
Source: RNAcentral